This 274-nucleotide ribosomal RNA is filed under the name uncultured bacterium. Its description in RNAcentral is "partial 16S ribosomal RNA". It matches the Rfam family "Bacterial small subunit ribosomal RNA", at positions 523 to 796 of the family's 1533-position model. The record is from RNAcentral.
AUACGGAGGGAGCAAGCGUUAUUCGGAAUCACUGGGCGUAAAGGACGCGUAGGCGGGUUUGUAAGUCAGGUGUGAAAUCCUACAGCUCAACUGUAGAACUGCACUUGAAACUACAGACCUAGAGUAUGGAAGGGGCAGAUGGAAUUAGUGGUGUAGGGGUAAAAUCCGUAGAUAUCACUAGGAAUACCGAAAGCGAAGGCGAUCUGCUGGGACAUUACUGACGCUGAGGCGUGAAAGCGUGGGGAGCAAACAGGUUUAGAUACCCCAGUAGUCC